This 446-nucleotide ribosomal RNA is filed under the name uncultured bacterium. RNAcentral's name for it is "partial 16S ribosomal RNA". It matches the Rfam family "Bacterial small subunit ribosomal RNA", at positions 338 to 795 of the family's 1533-position model. The record is from RNAcentral.
CCUACGGGUGGCAGCAGUCGAGAAUCAUUCACAAUGGGGGAAACCCUGAUGCUGCGACGCCGCGUGGGGGAAUGCAGGUCUUCGGAUUGUAAACCCCUGUCAUGUGGGAGCAAAUUAAAAAGAUAGUACCACAAGAGGAAGAGACGGCUAACUCUGUGCCCGCAGCCGCGGUAAUACAGAGGUCUCAUGGGUUGUUCGGAAUCAUUGGGCGUAAAGCGUGCGUAGGCUGUUUCGUAAGUCGUUGGUGAAAGGCGCGGGCUCAACCCGCGGACGGCACAUGAUACUGCGAGACUAGAGUGAUGGAGGGGGAGCCGGAAUUCUCGGUGUAGCAGUGAAAUGCGUAGAUAUCGAGAGGAACACUCGUGGCGAAGGCGGGUUCCUGGACAUUAACUGACGCUGAGGCACGAAGGCCAGGGGAGCGAAAGGGAUUAGAUACCCUUGUAGUC